CUUUCCAUGUGGAUGCAGAAUUGCUCUUACACCUUCCACACUGCCCGGAGACCUACGCCAGCAUUAGCAAAUAGAGUUUGCGAUACCCCACUGUCACUUCAGGCUUGGCAGGAAGGAAGAUCCUGCUGACAAGGAAAGCAGUGCCACUGCAGGGGGAAUGGCAAGAAUCCUGGGGCAGGAAUCCCUUCGGAGACUGACUUUUCGGCAUCAAGCCUCCUAUUGCACACGUGUGUGUGCAUGUGGCAGUGAAGGGGAUGAGAUGAGAGAGGGGAUGAGAACUGCCCUUCAAUUUCUCAACAGUUUCUUAACUUAAAUCCUUCCUUCUGAGCAUAAGACCUAGAUCAGGCUCAAGGAAAGAAAAACUUAAUUAAUCAGAAGUAGCUAAGUUCAAAGUGCGCCUGGGGUCAGCGUUACUACUCCUUUGCUUUGGAGUUUGGGGGUUGUGGAUAAUUCCCAUCUGCUGCACAACGACAAGUAGGUGAUGCCUGGUAUUUUCUGGCAGUAGCUACAUUUGAAGGUCUCCUUUCUUUCCACUCAUCUCUUUUAAGCUUAAUAUUGUCACUGAAAUAUACCUGAGCUCCAUGUCUAUAGUACAAGGGUCUAAAAUACCACGCGCAGUCCUGUGACACCAAGCACCAGCUCCGGGCAGUACCACGCAGGCUCCCCUAACUAUGGCCUUUGAGCACGUGGUUACAUGGAUCCCAGCAAAACGGAGAAUUGCUGGAGCUGAGCAGGGGCCGUGUGGGCCCUGGCUGGGGGAAGCAGGCCAAGGAAGCACGCUGGGAGCUGCUUGGUCAGUAUCUCCACGUUGCAGCCAAAGGCGUUUCUUGUUGCUUUGGUAUAACCUUCUGAGGACACGGAUGAGCUGGAGCUGAAGAUGACAGCUCAGCAGUUCUUCCCUUCUUCCUGCCUCUGUAACCUUUUCUCACAGAUCAGGAAUAUGGAAAUGUAGGGCCAGAUCCCACUUCAAUGACAGAACUGUUGCUGGGAAUUUCGGCGAAUGCACAUCAAGAGCAUGCUACCUCCAAAGAUGUGUCCUACCAGUCAGACUCGGAUGGGACCUGCCACCCUGCUUUGGUACCACGACAAAAACUGUACGUUAACUUCUGAGAAUCACAGAUUCCUGGCACAAGCACAAGCCACACCAUUUUCUCAUCUUCCAAGCACAGAAUUUCUGAGAAGCACAAUGCCAAGGCACGUCAGCAGGCUAUUACUGACCUCGCUAAACUUUAACACUAUUUACCCGAAGCGAAGUAAUCCUAAGAAUGAUGCAAAAUCCUUUUCUUCACUCUGAAGCCAUUAAAGAAAUUCUAACAGAAGGCCCCAAUGCCUCGUGGAUAAUCCUGACUACAAAGGUUAGAAAUACAAUGCUGAGGGCGUGAAUCCCUAUUUCUUGCCUGCUUCACUUCAUUUCCUUACGUCUCAGUUCCUUCAUCACUGAAUAUUAUCCACCUUGCUAAGUACCAUGAGGUGACAUCAAUGCACACACGUGCCCACACACACGGGCUGCUGACGUUGUCCCGCGGAGGAUGCCCCACCAGAGGACCUGCUGUUACUUAACAGCAGUCAUGCCACUAGCAAGAAAGACAAGCCUCAUCCACCAAUCCACUGCUCAGUCCGGGGAAGUGAAUCACCUUACAAACACUUUAUUUUCUGCGUGGACAGAAUCACUCAGACGUGUAACCAAUACCAGCAGCAAGCCCUUAUGCGGCAAGGUGGCCACAGGGGCUGUGUGGAGAAGGCCUGCACGGAGGGGUUCUGUGCCCAGGGCUCGGGGAAGGAGCGCUCUCCCACAGCACAGGCAGCAGACAAACCUGUGUCUGCUCCACAAACCCAGCUGCCCCGCUGCUACUUCUCACCUCUUCAGUCCUGGGGGUGUUUGGCUAUGGACCGUCCCCCCAGCCUGCACAGCCCUGUGUGACCAACCUGAGUCCUGGCUCCGAGACGGGAGCAGGGGACACGGCGUGUGGGGGUCGUACCCGGCCUGCAGAGUGAGUAUGUGAGGAAGAUGAGAGCUGUUCAAGCUGCAGAGCAGCACUGGUAAAACAAGUGGCUAAAACUGGCUGUGAGGAGAUUCAGACUGACAAUUAGAAGAGGGCUUUUAACCACGAGAGAAGUGAGAUUUGAGAUUAGCCUGCCAGAGGGAGGGAGAAUGGGGAAGAAAACCUCAGUGAUGUUAACAGGGAGGAAAUAUGUUUAUGAAGGAUAUUCUAAAACGUGGUUGUCAGGAAUGGAUCAGGUCUGGACCUGCUGAACGACGAGGUCCCUUCUGGUCAUGUGCAAUAUGGCCUGGCUGGUCUAAUAUUUCCUAGCAGAACCUCUCUGGCAUGUCCAGAGACAGCACAGCCAGUCUUGGAUAUCCUUCCCAGAGGUCUGGGGAAGGACAAGUUGAGGCAGAGGAAUCCGGCGUAGCGGCUGCUCCCAGCUACCCUGGCAGCCCUUGCCCGAGCUGUGCAAACCAGGACGAGCCAGGAGGCUCGGAGGCAGGAUGCAGUCGGGCAGCAGCGUACGCAUCAGACAGCAACAGCCACGUUCCUGCCAGCCCCACAGCCUCCCCUGCCCGCUGCCUGGCCUCGCGGUGCACAACUGCACGGCAGGAGCUGCCUGGGCCUGGCCGGACGCUGACCCGUGCCAGGGGCUCCCCAGGUCCCUGAGAUGUGAGCUGGGCCAGAGCCCGCUCACCUGCAUCAUCCAGGGAAACGUGUGCCGGCCCUGGGACGGGGAGCUCUGCCCCGUGCCUAAAUAGUAAAGCCAGCAUUUAGUUCCUUCAUCUCCACACGAAGUAUCUCAUUUCAAUUUAAUUUCACAGUUGUAAUGGAUUUUUCAAAAAUAUUCAAGAACAUAUUUACUUUCCAACAUCUUAUUUCCUUUCAUAUUUGAAAAAACUUUCUAUCUAAUCCCCCAAGUCAUCCUACAGUCUGAAUAAUUUCAGGUUUUUAAUCAAUAGCUGUCAGACUUGUCAAAUUACUUUAGGGACCACAAAGCAAUUUUUAAACAUUCAUAAACCCUCGUAGAACAGUUAAGUGCACUGAAUUUUAAAAGAAAGAGGAACUGAAUAACACUGAUCAAAUAGGAUUAUAUUCUGGCAAAUUAUAAAUUAGUUUUUUAUGAAUCAUCUCACAGCUACUUAUCUAGCGUCGGGCUUCUGCUGCUGUAGGAAAGCGAAGUUACUGUUCACCUCUAGAGAAAGAAGCCUUCUUUUCUUUUGCUUCUGAGCCUACUAAGAAGGAGCAAGGUGCAAGGCAUUUUUUCUGUUGUCCUUCCUAAAAGCAACUUCAUUAUCCCGCUAGCCGCCUUGGGGCUCUUUCUGUCAGCCUGCUGCCUAAACCAGAGACAGCCGAGCUGCGGCUCCAGAGCCGUAUGAAUGCACCUUGGCUCCUGGCAUCCUUCCCAUCCCAGUACUGCUUCCCGGUCUGCUCCAGCCAUGUGAAUCUGUCUGGCGUGUCACUCUAGAAAUGAUGGUCACAAAAGUUCUCAACUUAUUGGACAAAGACCACCUGGACUCACAACGCAGCUUGAAGCCUUUAUAGGGAAGAUUUUCCACGUUGCACUGAGUCAAGCUACCAGAUGAACGCAGGAGCCUGCGCUGUGCUUGUUCUAGGAACAAAGAGAGAUCAAGAACGUCUGAAGAAGUCAAACAUGUUUAUCCAGCACCGACUUUACACACAACAGUCCCACCUCAUCAUCACAGCGUCUUUCCUAAAUUUGAGGGAUGUGGCUUGCACAAGGGAUAAAAAGGGAGCUUCGUAGCUACACCAAGAAUGUUGGAAGUCUUCCAGGAAAAAGCACGGCUCAGAUCAAAGCGGGGAUGAAGGAUGUUCAGAAGGAAGGAACGUUUCAGCCGGCCACAUGCAGCCUAACAAGCCCAAACCGUCUGUCCUCCUCCUCCCAGCUGAACUUCCUCUUCCACUGUCAGAGCUGCCCCAAACGCACCCGCACCUUUACUGUUCCCGAGUGCCUCCCUGGGCAGCAGGCCCCCUCGCGUGUUACUCAGGAGAGCUGAGCACCAGCACCGAGCCUUGCCGGCCAGCUGGCCACAUCACAGAGAAGGGAGUUUAACCCCGGCUGCAGCACUGGCUGCACCGUGAGACCAGGGCAAUUGCCAUUCCUUGGCUACUGAAAGCAGGAGGGGAGAGGACUGCGAAGCAAAAGGCACCGCGUUUCCCAAGGAAUAGCCACCGAGAGGAGGCCUUGCUGCUCAGGACUUUGGCUUCUGCCCUCUCACUCGGUGCAGCACUGCCGGCAGCAGGAGAGGCCCGUCUCACGCAGGCACGUCUCUGGCUGCUGGCAGCCCACAGUUGCCACUCGCUUGCCCAGGCUCAGGCGCCCCAGAGCAGGAGACGCAGCAGGCACGGACUCUGAUACCCCGCUGACCUCGUCUGACGAUGGCUCCAUGUCCAAACCACCGCGCUGGGAGCCGAACCUGUCCAGGCUUUGGGAAACCUUGUUCUUAGCGCCCAGGUGGCGCACAUCUGCCCGGGCGGCUUCCUCCGCCUUCAGCUGAGUCUGGAAAUAAUUAACAAGGCCAGCCUGGGGCAGGAGGCGGGAAAGGAAAGGAGAGCGUCCGACCUGGUGGCCUGGCCAAGUCAGAAGGAAGCGAGGGAUUCUCAGACUGAUUCAGACUCAGUUGCUUUUUUUGUACUUCAAAUUGAAGAAGCAAAAACAUUUCUCCAUGAGAACAUUUCAGCAAGUUCAGAGCUUUUUAGGGCUUGGUCUGCUUUUCUUUGUGAGGUGCUCGGUGGGUUCGCCGAGCCAGCCCUCACAGACAGCGGAAGUCUAGUAUUCUCUUUUAGCUUUCUCAGUAUUUAGUUUAUUGCUAACUGUUUGCCCAGUGAACCAGAAAACCAAAUAUAUUCAGGCACGCUGUGCUAACACACAGACGCUCAUACUAACGUAUAUGCAAUGACACGCGCUGGAUGCUCUCGGCCAGAACAACGGAGCUGCAAGAUCUGAAUGAAGUGAAGAACGCGAGAGGACAGCGAUCAGAUCGGUCCGGUGGAAAUGCUGGAGCUAACUUUUCCUGCUAACUGAAAUGAUUAAUCCCCUGAAUUACACCUGAUAAGGAUUCAAGUGUUUCAUUACUCUGCAUUAGUAAUAAUAAUAAAAUUGGUGCUUUUUGUCAUGAGAUGCUCUGCCCAGGGAAUUGUGGAAGAACAUUUAAUUACAGGGCUGUUUCAUUAAAUGUAAAAAUUAAACUAAA
Molecule: long non-coding RNA, 5200 nt
Organism: Cygnus olor (mute swan)
Lineage: Eukaryota; Metazoa; Chordata; Aves; Anseriformes; Anatidae
Exons: 2
Source: RefSeq, a predicted model, not a curated record